CGUUUACAGUUCACACUUCAGAAGCCCUAACAUCAAGGAAGUAUUGUUCUGAUCGUAUUUGCAACCACUAGUGUCUUGCUCGCGCAAGGACAAGGUAUGUGUUGUUUUGCCUUGACAUAUACCAGUGGCAAAGCUAGCCAUAGCAACUGCUCAUGCUACGCUAAUAAACCUACGUCUAAAUAUAGGUUAAAGACAAUCUAGCUUUGCCAUUGACUUAUAUUUCAUGUUGUUUGAUGUUGUCUAAGUCCAUGUUUAUACAGCCCUCAGUCUGACCUUCAUUUUUACCCAGCUGAAAAUCGUUUAUCUUGAACUAAUAUUUACAUCAAGGUCAAGCAGGGGAUGACAAUCAGUGAAUCAUUCAGAU
Paramuricea clavata is the source of this 364-nucleotide non-coding RNA. NCBI's taxonomy places the organism in Eukaryota, Metazoa, Cnidaria, Anthozoa, Malacalcyonacea, Plexauridae. The record is from the annotation of a GenBank genome assembly.